This 468-nucleotide ribosomal RNA is filed under the name uncultured bacterium. RNAcentral's name for it is "partial 16S ribosomal RNA". It matches the Rfam family "Bacterial small subunit ribosomal RNA", at positions 28 to 507 of the family's 1533-position model. The record is from RNAcentral.
GACGAACGCUGGCGGCGUGCCUAACACAUGCAAGUCGAACGGAAAGGCCCGGCUCUUGCGGGUCGUUCGUUUGGCGAACGGGUGAGAAACACGUGAGUAUCCUGCCCUUGACUUUGGGAUACCUCCAGGAAACUGGGGCUAUUACCGCCUAUGAGCUCCUGCUGCGGGGUGGGGGUUGGAAAGUUUCGGCGGUUGGGGUUGGACUCGCGGCGCAUCCGCUUGUUGGUGGGGUAGUGGCUUACCAAGGCUUUGACGGGUAGCCGGCCUGAGAGGGUGACAGGCCACGUCGGGAGUGGGAUACGGCCCGGACUACUACGGUAGGCAGCAGUGGGGAAGGUGGCACAGUGGGCGGAAGCCUGAUGCGGCAACGCCGCGUGGGGGAUGGCGGGCUGGGUGUUGUAUACCGAUUUCGCGUGUGACGAAGCGAGAGUGACGGUAAUGGGUAAAAAAGCACCGGCUAACUACGUG